AUUAUUAUUAUUAUUGAUCUAUAUACCUUUGAUACCUCCAAUGUAAGGAUGUAUGACAGAAUUUGUAAUUGUGAUGCAUUUAACAAAUAGUCAGUGCAUCAGUCCUUGCAUUGUUUAAAUUAAACAUUGUGAUUGUAAAUGUUCAGUUGAAAAAAUAAUGUUAACGUAUUAAAAUUAAUUUUUGGCCAUUCUAAUCCUUUUUUGGUUUUGAGGCUUCCAGAUGUUGUAUGUAUUGGCUUCCAAAACUUAACUCUUGAGCAAUAUAAUUAAGAUGAAUACAAGUGUCAUGCACACAGAAUUUGGUAUUGUACACUUUUGUCUCCCCUAGGAUCAAUGUUGCAGAAUGCAAGACAUAUAUAUGCUUAAGCAAUGUCAACAGCAGCUUCAGAAAAAAAAGAGCUGGAUAAUUUAUAUCUGGUAUAUAUUCCAUGUCUUUGACCUCAUUUUCGUGGUUCAAUGACCACUUAAUAAAACCUAGUUGUCUCACCGUAAACCAAAUGUCAUGAAAUGGAUGCAAGACAUAGGGAUGCUUAUUUUGCAGUGGCUGUGUAAACUAUUUGUAUAAAGCUUUAUAUCUCAGAAUACCUGGUUACUUCAUAUCUUGCAUGUUUUUGUUGUCGAUAUCCUCAAUUUCAUUGUUAAGUUAUCACAAUCAAUAGGACAACUAAAUUAUAAUGGACAUUGCCACAUGACCUUGACCUCAUUUCAUGGAUCAGUGAUCAACAUUGAGUUAGGUCUCUUUCACCAUUACUUGAACAGUAGGUCAACUUUGCUUGAUGUAUAGAAUGAUUGUUAAUUGUACAUGUUCAUCUGAAAUUGAUCUCAUUUUUAUGGUUCCUUGGGCAAUGCUAAUUUUGGAUGUGUGGAAUGAUUUUAAAGUUUAUAUGUCUGUCUGCAGAGUACAUCUGACGUUGACUUCACUAUUAUGGUUUAUUGGUCAAUACAUAUAAAGGUUUAGCCAUUUGAUCUGUUUCUCGGAUACUAUAAGCAUUAGGUCAACUAUAUUGGAUGUGUGGAAUGAUUUUAAUGAGUAUAUGUCUGUCUGCAGAGUACAUCUGACGUUGACUUCAUUAUUAUGGUUUAUUGGUCAAUACAUAUAAAGGUUUAGCCAUUAGAUCUGUUUCUCAGAUACUAUAAGCAUUAGGUCAAUUACAUUUGGUAAUUGGAAUGAGGUACAAGUAAGGUGUACAUGUCUGUCUGGCAGGGUUUAUUUUAGUCCAAAUUAUAAUAAUAAUGUCUUUUAAGGUAUAACAAGAGCCAACGUGACUUGGUGCAUGCAAAUGAUCAUGUGGCAGUUUGAAACUACUUAUUUUUUAAAACUCAACCCGUCUGUCUGUUCGUCCUUCAUCAAAGUUUAUGUGGCUUCUAUGAAAAGGAAUGAUUUAAUAUUUGGUCUGCAGCUUAAUUAUGUUGAGUUGUAGCUAAAAAUCAACUUUUACAUCUGUCGUGUAGCCACUUCCUGUUCACCAAUAGUUUGAAAUUUUACAACACUCAUUGUAUGAGGAAAAUUUUCGUCAGUUUUGUUGGCUCCUUUUGAAGUGAAUGAUGAAUUUUGCUCCGGUAUACAUGUUACCUCGAUCAAUUGCAUGCAGUGAUGCCGGUCCAGACCCAUUAUUGUUCUUGUUAAGUUACAGAUGAAUACUCAACAUGUACAAUAUCAUAUAAGAAACAAAACUCAAAUGAUGUUUAACUGUACUUUAUUUUUUGUAAGUCAGCAUACACAUUGCUAUAAAUGCCUUCAAAUGCCUUGUAUAAAAUUUAUCUGCUAGUAUAAAAGCCUACAUAAGCUGUAAAAUAUGACGCAUAUCUAUGCAUCAGCUCCACCUACUGGCAAGGAAACCCUACUAAGGGGAUACAAUUCUUUUGAAUGAGGUGAUUCAUUAUGAAUGAAAAAAAAUAAUAUAUAAA
Molecule: long non-coding RNA, 1908 nt
Organism: Mytilus californianus (California mussel)
Lineage: Eukaryota; Metazoa; Mollusca; Bivalvia; Mytilida; Mytilidae
Exons: 2
Source: RefSeq, a predicted model, not a curated record